CGGUCGACCACUCGACCUGCUGCUAUGCCAUGUCCUUGUCCCCGAAGAGAACGCAUACGGAAAUUACGCUUGUCAUCGUUGACGACGCACCGCAGCCCACAUCAGCCUCAGCACCGGCGCCGUCUUCGUCGUCCGGCUGCAGCAGCGCGGGGGGCGGCGCUUCUUCGGCAAGCACCGAGCCGAGCGGCGCAAGCUAGCAAGGGUCAGCUAAAGAAACAGGAAGCAGCGGCCCGAGGCAGGCGACGUCGGCAGCCGUCAGCCGCCGCCGUGCACAUGCGGCGACCUCAAGGCCGACGUGGAGCUAAACACGGCGGUCAAGGCAGCCACCGUGGGCGUCAUGUCGUUGCUGUGUGCGAGUUAUGGUCAUGCUGCUCGUGUACCUGCAUGUCAGCGCCUCGGAAUCCGCCGUCGCCGACAUCGCCGGUCCCGCCAACUACAGCGACAUCGUGGUGCCGGAAAUCGAGGAGCUAUCAUAUAAUUGCUACCAAAAUAAAAAAAAAAGGACGUGC
Non-coding RNA from Dermacentor albipictus, 509 nucleotides. The record is from RefSeq and is a predicted model, not a curated record. Lineage: Eukaryota; Metazoa; Arthropoda; Arachnida; Ixodida; Ixodidae.